AUAAAUAUUGUACAGGAUCCAGGGAUUCGGCAAAUCCAUGAGGGCUAUUUCUAUUUUUUUUAGUUUUUUUCUCUCUGUUUAUUUAAAGUUGUCUCUGAAACAGCCCCCUCAGAAGCAGAUUUUAGGACAGCCUCUUUUAUGAUCUCUUUUUUUAAAUGACGCAACUGUCAAAUGGUCUUCGGUGCAGCAGAAGCUGCCUCACUUUGCACUGUAAAUACACUCGAGCCUUUUAAAAUCUCUCUAGUUCACACAUUCGCCUGUGAGGUGUCUUAGAAAGUUGUUGUUCUGCAAUUGUGCCCUACAGUCGACUAAUUUCUUCUUUCUUUCCCUCUUGUUCCCCCCUCUCUCUUCUGUCUCUCCUCUCCCUUUUCUUUGCUCCUUCUCUUUGCAGUUUGACGUGCUGAAGUGCUUCUUAAGGAGAAUUCUGGGGAGAUUUCUUGUUCUUUCAUUCCUCAAGGAUGAGGCAGCACAGUGGACCUGUGUGCUGAAACACCUCCCACUUUUAAACUUCAUGUUCCAGGAUGAACCAUGAGCAAAGGUUGUGAGGGCCUGUUUCUAUCGUCCUGUCGUACAGUGAGGCAGU
RNAcentral lists this long non-coding RNA (583 nucleotides) under Sparus aurata (gilthead seabream). RNAcentral's name for it is "lncRNA (ENSSAUG00010023700.1)". Lineage: Eukaryota; Metazoa; Chordata; Actinopteri; Spariformes; Sparidae. The record is from RNAcentral.